Molecule: non-coding RNA, 334 nt
Filed under: Enterocytozoon bieneusi H348
Lineage: Eukaryota; Fungi; Microsporidia; Enterocytozoonidae
Description: Microsporidia small subunit ribosomal RNA
Rfam family: Microsporidia small subunit ribosomal RNA
Source: Rfam by way of RNAcentral
CAUUAGGUUGAUUCUGCCUAACGUAGAUGCUAGUCUCUGAGAUUAAGCCAUGCAUGUCAGUGAAGCCUUACGGUGGAACGGCGAACGGCUCAGUAAUGUUGCGGUAAUUUGGUCUCUGUGUGUAAACUAACCACGGUAACCUGUGGCUAAAAGCGGAGAAUAAGGCGCAACCCUAUCAGCUUGUUGGUAGUGUAAAGGACUACCAAGGCCAUGACGGGUAACGGGAAAUCAGGGUUUGAUUCCGGAGAGGGAGCCUGAGAGAUGGCUCCCACGUCCAAGGACGGCAGCAGGCGCGAAACUUGUCCACUCCUUACGGGGGAGACAGUCAGAGACG